Molecule: long non-coding RNA, 246 nt
Filed under: Elaeis guineensis (African oil palm)
Lineage: Eukaryota; Viridiplantae; Streptophyta; Magnoliopsida; Arecales; Arecaceae
Description: long non-coding RNA (EGUI_LNC016255)
Source: RNAcentral
AUCAGACGAUCAGUCACUUGAUAAAUUAGAAAAAAUAGACUUGAAUCAGAUUAGAUGCCACCAUCAUUUAAUUCACCUACAUUCACACUAGCAUACAGUAAUUAAUUGACCUAUAUCUAAUCCAAUAACAACAAAAACCUACUCCUCAAUCCAAUGACAACGAAACCUACUUCUUGGACUUCACUUUUGUCCACGUAGAAAAGACCAGUCAGUUGAUAACUUUAAAAAAUAGACUUGAAUCGGAUA